AUUGAACGCUGGCGGCAUGCCUUACACAUGCAAGUCGAACGGCAGCACGGGUGCUUGCACCUGGUGGCGAGUGGCGAACGGGUGAGUAAUACAUCGGAACGUACCUUAUCGUGGGGGAUAACGCAGCGAAAGCUGUGCUAAUACCGCAUACGCCCUGAGGGGGAAAGCGGGAGAUCGCAAGACCUCGCGCGAUUAGAGCGGCCGAUGCCUGAUUAGCUUGUUGGUGGGGUAAAAGCCCACCAAGGCGACGAUCAGUAGCUGGUCUGAGAGGACGAUCAACCACACUGGGACUGAGACACGGCCCAGACCCCUACGGGAGGCAGCAGUGGGGAAUUUUGGACAAUGGGGGCAACCCUGAUCCAGCAAUGCCGCGUGAGUGAAGAAGGCCUUCGGGUUGUAAAGCUCUUUUGUCAGGGAAGAAACGCCGGCUCUAACACAGUCUGGGAAUGACGGUACCUGAAGAAUAAGCACCGGCUAACUACGUGCCAGCAGCCGCCGUAA
Molecule: ribosomal RNA, 501 nt
Filed under: uncultured bacterium
Lineage: Bacteria
Description: partial 16S ribosomal RNA
Rfam family: Bacterial small subunit ribosomal RNA
Source: RNAcentral